CUGAGAGCAGAACAGAACAGAAUCUUCAUCAUCACACAAGACAAAACAACAACAAUGAACAACAUCAUCAUCCUCAUCUGGACACUCACACUGUUUGCUCAAGAGUGUAGAGGACAGUACACUGUUACUCAGAGUCCAUCAAUAACAGCAGCUCAAGGACAAGAAGUCAGAAUAAACUGCAAAGUCAGCAGUAGAGUGGCUGGUGGUAGUUACUUACACUGGUACUUACAGAAACCUGGAGAAGCUCCUAAACUCCUCAUAUAUAAAGCAACAAGCCGUUACACUGGAACUCCAUCUAGAUUCAGUGGCAGUGGAUCUGACAGUGAUUUCACUCUGACCAUCAGUGGAGUCCAGACUGAAGAUACAGGAGAUUAUUACUGUCAGAGUGUACACAGUGGUGGUGUGUUCACACAGUGAUGAAGAGUCGUACAAAAACCUCCAUCAGUCAGAGUCACAGUAACUGCACUGAUACAGAUGAGAGAAACUGCAGCUGCUCUACAACACAAUCACACACAACACUGAUCAACACAAACACUAAUAACACAUUA
Non-coding RNA from Labeo rohita (rohu), 548 nucleotides. NCBI's taxonomy places the organism in Eukaryota, Metazoa, Chordata, Actinopteri, Cypriniformes, Cyprinidae. The record is from the annotation of a RefSeq genome assembly.